RNAcentral lists this ribosomal RNA (814 nucleotides) under uncultured Bacillota bacterium. Its description in RNAcentral is "bacterial SSU rRNA". It matches the Rfam family "Bacterial small subunit ribosomal RNA", at positions 74 to 902 of the family's 1533-position model. The record is from RNAcentral. Lineage: Bacteria; Bacillati; Bacillota.
GGGCAGCAAUGUCUUGUUAGUGGCGAACGAUCGCGUAACACGUAAGCAACCUGCCUCAAAGUGGGGGACAACAGAUCGAAAGGUCUGCUAAUACCGCAUGUGAACGAUUCUUGGCAUCUUGGAUCGUUUAAAGCCUUGUGCGCUUUGAGAUGGGCUUGCGGCCUAUCAGGUAGUUGGUGGGGUAACGGCCUACCAAGCCGACGACGGGUAGCUGGUCUGAGAGGACGAUCAGCCGGAUUGGGACUGAGAUACGGCCCAGACUCCUACGGGGGGCAGCAAUUAGGAAUCUUGCACAAUGGGCGAAAGCCUGAUGCAGCGACGCCGCGUGCGGGACGAAGGCCUUCGGGUCGUAAACCGCUUUUUUAGGGGAAGAAGCAUGUGACGGUACCCUAAGAAUAAGCCCCGGCUAACUACGUGCCAGCAGCCGCGGUAAUACGUAGGGGGCGAGCGUUGUCCGAAGUUACUGGGCGUAAAGCGCGCGUAGGCGGUCAUUUAAGUCUGAGGUGAAAGGUUCAGCGCUCAACGUGAACAGUGCCUUGGAUACUGGGUGACUUGAGUUCGGGAGGGGGCAGUGGAAUUCCAGGUGUAGCGGUGAAAUGCGUAGAUAUCUGGAGGAACACCGAUGGCGAAGGCAGCUGCCUGGCCCAGAACUGACGCUGAGGUGCGAAAGCGUGGGGAGCGAACGGGAUUAGAUACCCCGGUAGUCCACGCCGUAAACGAUGAGUGCUAGGUGUUCGGGGUAUCGACCCCCCGGGUGCCGCCGCUAACGCAGUAAGCACUCCGCCUGGGGAGUACGGCCGCAAGGUUGAAACUC